This 247-nucleotide long non-coding RNA is filed under the name Phaseolus vulgaris (common bean). RNAcentral describes it as "long non-coding RNA (PVUL_LNC001884)". The record is from RNAcentral. Lineage: Eukaryota; Viridiplantae; Streptophyta; Magnoliopsida; Fabales; Fabaceae.
GCUGAAGUUAUGCAUCAUCGCCGUAUCCGAAGAACAGAAGAUCAGAUAACUGGAAAUCGCCGAGGUAGACACAUCGCCGGGUUCUCCAGAAAGCUUAUUUGAAGCUGUUGGAGUUUUAAGUGAGUAAGUCCAGAUGUGUUGGUUCGAUAAAGAUGUUUGUUAAACCUAAACAUGAGCGAUGAGAUGUGUUUUUCUCACUUUAUGGUUGUUCUGCUCCAACCAUAAAGGAGAGUUUCUUUUGUGGAUG